AAGUGGCAUUUGAUAAGCCAUC
This 22-nucleotide microRNA is filed under the name Caenorhabditis elegans. RNAcentral's name for it is "cel-miR-2212-3p". The record is from miRBase by way of RNAcentral. Lineage: Eukaryota; Metazoa; Nematoda; Chromadorea; Rhabditida; Rhabditidae.